UAUGACGAGCAGUCGCUGCUGUUCGGUUUAACCGGAUGGUAGAGGAAAGUCGAGACACGCACACCGGGUGUCCAUAAAGGCAUUUGGUGUAGAAUGGUGCCCGGCGCAAGCCGGGGCAGGGCGACCUGACGACGGUCAAAGAAACCCAAUGGGUUUUCAGUAGCUGUAAAGUGCCACAGAAACUAAGUCAUCGGGUAACCGGUGAGUGCAAGGGUAAACUCCGCCAGCGUGCAACCCAAAUAGGCAGCCUUUGAGCUGCGGGUAGGGGCACCCCCGGGAGGGGGAGGUGAACCGCAAGGUUUGCCUAGAUAGAUGACUGCUGAAACAGAAUCUCGCUUACGGUC
Molecule: RNase P RNA, 344 nt
Filed under: Desulfoscipio gibsoniae DSM 7213
Lineage: Bacteria; Bacillati; Bacillota; Clostridia; Eubacteriales; Desulfallaceae
Description: Desulfotomaculum gibsoniae DSM 7213 Bacterial RNase P class B
Rfam family: Bacterial RNase P class B
About the family: Ribonuclease P (RNase P) is a ubiquitous endoribonuclease, found in archaea, bacteria and eukarya as well as chloroplasts and mitochondria.
Source: Rfam by way of RNAcentral